GCUGGUCUCGAACUCUUGACCUCAGGUGAUCUGCCUGCCUCGGCCGCCCAAAGUGCUGGGAUUACAGGUAUGAGCCACCUCACCCGUCCCACUGUUGCCAUUUGGAGGUCAUCAGGGGUCUCUACUGCAUAGAAAUUAGUUGGCAGCCUUGGCACUCAAAGUGCUCGGCCAGGGCCAUUUAAUAUAGAAGGACCUGGGAGUUUUGGGUUCUUUGACAAUGCAUAUUUCAGUGGUUUAAGAAUUUGGCACAGGUGGCUGGGCAUGGCGGCUCACAUCUCUGAGUGACCUGGGUUCAAAUUCUAGCUGUUAUUCAGCAUGGGAUUCAAAAGUAGGGACAUAACCCCACCUCCUCACUGGUGAGGUGGGAGCAGAGAAUGACAUCCUGGCACACACUGUGCCUUGGAGGGGGCCUCCCUGAGCAUCUCAGAGGGGGCUCAUGAUGGAUCUGGCACUCAUGGGUUGGGUGCUGUGGGGUGAGGUAGGGAAAGCCCAGCUGAGCUUGGGACCAACCCUGGGCUUCGUGGGAAUCUGAAGUCCCUUUCCUAGGGGCCUCUCUGGUCCCUCGGGGCCUGUAUGUGCCAUCUCCAAGCUGUGUUUACCAUGGGCCAGAUCACAACCUGUCUGAAUCAGUGUUCUCACAUAAAAAUCAGAAAGACUGAUCCCAGCACUUUGGGAGGCCAAAGCAGGCGGAUCAUGAGGUCAGGAGUUCAAGACCAGCCUGGCCAAUAUGGUGAAAUCCCAUCUCUAUUAAAAUACAAAAAAUUAGCCAGACAUGGUGGUGCAUGCCUGUAGUCCCAGCUACUUGGGAGGCUGAGGCAGAAGAAUCGCUUGAACCUGGAGGGGGCGGAGGUUGCAGUGAGCUGAGAUCAUGUGAGACUCUGUCUCAAAAAAAAAAAAAAAAAAAAAAGGCCAGGCAUGGCGGCUCACGCCUAUAGUCCCAGCACUUUGAGAGGCUGAGGCGGGCGGCUCACCUGAGGUCAGGAGUUCGAGACCAGCCUGGCCAACAUGGUGAAACCCCAUCUCUACUAAAAAUAAAAAAUUUAGCUGGGUGUGGUGGCAUAUCCCUGUAAUCCCAGCUACCCGGGAGGCUGAUGCAGGAGAAUCACUUGAACCUGGGAGGCAGAGGUUGCAGUGAGCUGAGAUCACGUCAUUGCAGUCCAGCCUGGGAAACAGAGCAAGACUCCGUCUCAAAAAAAAAAAAAAAAAAAAGCCCAGCACAGUGGCUCAUGCCUGUAAUCCCAGCACUUUGAGAGGCCGAGGCGGGUGGAUCACAAGGUCGGGAGUUCAAGAUAAGCCUGGCCAAGAUGGUGAAACCCCAUCUCUAACAAAAAUACAAAAAUUAGCCGGGCACGGUGGCAGGUGCCUGUAAUCGCAACUACUUGGGAGGCUGAGGCAGGAGAAUCGCUUGAAACCCGGG
Molecule: long non-coding RNA, 1417 nt
Filed under: Homo sapiens (human)
Lineage: Eukaryota; Metazoa; Chordata; Mammalia; Primates; Hominidae
Description: HSALNT0396495
Source: RNAcentral